ACUCAAAUGAAUAGACGGGGGCUCACACAAGCGGUGGAGCAUGUGGCUUAAUUCGAAGCAACGCGAAGAACCUUACCCGGGCUUGACAUGCAUGGAUGCCCUUCUUCGAUGAGUUGAAGGGUUACCUUUCGGGGUGAAACAUGCACAGGUGUUGCACGGCUGUCGUCAGCUCGUGCUGUGAAGUGUCGGGUUAAGUCCCUUAACGAGCGAAACCCUUGUCGCCAGUUACCAGCGGGUAAAGCCGGGGACUCUGGCGAGACUGCCGGCGUUAAGCCGGAGGAAGGCGGGGACGACGUCAAGUCAUCGUGGCCCUUAUGUCCGGGGAUGCACACGUGCUACAAUGGCGAUUACAGAGCGCUGCAAGACCGUAAGGUGGAGCAAAUCGCAAAAAAGUCGCCCCAGUUCGGAUUGGAGGCUGCAAUUCGCCUCCAUGAAGUUGGAAUCGCUAGUAAUCGCGCAUCAGCUACGGCGCGGUGAAUGUGUUCCUGAGCCUUGUACACACCGCCCGU
RNAcentral lists this ribosomal RNA (509 nucleotides) under uncultured bacterium. RNAcentral's name for it is "partial 16S ribosomal RNA". It matches the Rfam family "Bacterial small subunit ribosomal RNA", at positions 899 to 1397 of the family's 1533-position model. The record is from RNAcentral.